RNAcentral lists this ribosomal RNA (300 nucleotides) under Rhinichthys atratulus (blacknose dace). Its description in RNAcentral is "partial small subunit ribosomal RNA". It matches the Rfam family "Bacterial small subunit ribosomal RNA", at positions 794 to 1248 of the family's 1533-position model. Lineage: Eukaryota; Metazoa; Chordata; Actinopteri; Cypriniformes; Leuciscidae. The record is from RNAcentral.
GCUCAGCCAUAAACCCAGACGUCCAACUACAAUUAGACAUCCGCCCGGGUACUACGAGCAUUAGCUUGAAACCCAAAGGACCUGACGGUGCCUCAGACCCCCCUAGAGGAGCCUGUUCUAGAACCGAUAACCCCCGUUAAACCUCACCACUUCUAGCCACCCCAGCCUAUAUACCGCCGUCGUCAGCUUACCCUGUGAAGGCAAUAAAAGUAAGCAAAAUGGGCACAACCCAGAACGUCAGGUCGAGGUGUAGCGUACGAAGCGGGAAGAAAUGGGCUACAUUUUCUAUUAUAGAACACU